RNAcentral lists this ribosomal RNA (253 nucleotides) under uncultured bacterium. RNAcentral's name for it is "partial 16S ribosomal RNA". It matches the Rfam family "Bacterial small subunit ribosomal RNA", at positions 524 to 776 of the family's 1533-position model. The record is from RNAcentral.
UACGUAGGGGGCAAGCGUUGUCCGGAAUCAUUGGGCGUAAAGAGCGUGUAGGCGGUUCGGUAAGUCGGCUGUGAAAGUCCAGGGCUCAACCCUGGGAUGCCGGUGGAUACUGUCGGGCUCGAGUCCGGAAGAGGAGUGUGGAAUUCCUGGUGUAGCGGUGAAAUGCGCAGAUAUCAGGAGGAACACCAAUGGCGAAGGCAGCACUCUGGGACGUGACUGACGCUGAGACGCGAAAGCGUGGGGAGCGAACAGG